This 3510-nucleotide long non-coding RNA is filed under the name Panax ginseng (ginseng). RNAcentral's name for it is "long non-coding RNA (PGIN_LNC004315)". The record is from RNAcentral. Lineage: Eukaryota; Viridiplantae; Streptophyta; Magnoliopsida; Apiales; Araliaceae.
UGCCUUCUUACGUAAGAAUCAAUAAUCCAACAAUACUGUGCAAUACCGUGUGCUACUGUGCAACCACGCGUGCUAUUGUAUUUUAACCACCAGGUAUUCCAACAGUGUUAACGGUAACAACUACGCCGUUAUUUAUAAAAACUCAAACGUGUCAUUUUCAUCAUCUGACAGUUAUUCUAUUAUGGGGCCCAUAAAUGGUUGGGCCAUCGUACGAAUAUUCUCCGACAACAAGAAUAUUGCACGACCAAACGAAUAUUCCCCGACAACAAUGAAUAUUUUAUAACCACUUGCUUAUUUUAAAAAUUUUAUAUAUAUCACUCUUAACUUUAAACUUUUAUAAAUUUAACUAUUUACUAAUUAAAUAGAAAAAUUGAAUACUUUUAUUUCAUAAAAUUCAGGGUCUUACAAUCUCUCAUUCUUAUGAAAUUUUGUCCCCGAAAUUUACGUACCUGGUAUUUAGAAGAGUUGAUUAUACCUUGCUUUCAUUUCAGAUUCCAUCUUCCCUGUCAUCAUGAUUUCUCCAUUGCUCAUCUUGUGUAUUUCAGAUAUCAUUCUAGAAUACCGCUUCAAAACAAGGGUUAAUUGACAUAUCACAAUUUGUCAAUUUAUCAAGUAUAAAAUUUCAGCUUAGGUAAGUCACAUACUAGCGAAAUAUAUUACUCGUCUCUCCCCUUCUAGUUCUAGACUCAGAUCUCCGUCAGCAACCAUAUCCCUAAGCUCUGAUACCAACUAUGACGUCCCCAAGAUAGGUACAAUCCACCCAACCCAUUCUGAGUCACCAAAUACAUGGUGCAGAAAACAACUACAACUUCAUUAUUACAAUUGUCGUGCAAAAUACGACAACAAACAUACUGUGAGUUUUAAUACCAACUGUGACUCUUAUCCCUUUACUUGGAUAGCACCUCACAUUGAUACAUUACAUAAAGGUACAGUCAAUAACAUGUUUUAGAAAUUAAAAUCUUUAGAAAAUGCUCAAGAAAACCUUCGUACAUGGGAGGCCAUGCAUCUAAGUUAUAAUAAAUAUCAUAUGACUCGACAAUUAUCCUUGGUUGACCCAAUAGACCCCAAAGAAAAAUAAGAAGAUUGCUGUCAUGUUCUUUCCAAUGGUGAGUAUUCUCUUGACAUAUAAUUAUCUCCAUUGUCUCCAUUUGAGAAUUAUAUUUCAACCAAACUCCAAAAUUAUAAAGGUAGUGCUUGUAGAUAUAAUCAGCAAGUACAUGUGUACAACCCUGUCUUAUGAUAACACGAAGUCGUAAGUCAUUAGACAUCUUGUAUGAUAGUGGCAAAAAACCCUUCCAAAGUUGGGUUCACCUCACCCUAUUCGGAUCACCAAAAUCAACGGUUAAAAUGACGUAUAAAAUACGAUAGAUUUAUUUAAAAUUCUUGAUAAAAUUAUUUCCAUACUAUUUUAGGGAAAACCUCAACAGCUAUAGAUCAUCGUUCUAUUCCCUUGUUACCCCCGCUCGACCCAGCUACACUCUUAUUACCUGAAAGCAAUUGUGAAGCAAAAGGGUGAGCACAACUAGCCCAGUAAAGAAUAUCAUGACUAAAGAUAAUUAAAUUAUCAAUAGCCUUCGUCAAUAAUAAAUCAAGGAUUUAUAACAUAUGGUAGAUGAUAAAAAUUUUCAACCAUAGUUGCAGCGGAACGAGCAAUCCAUUAGAAGAUUCAAAUAGACCAUAAAGUCUAUUAUAUUCUCUUUGUUAAAAGUCCACCAACAAUGUUUUAACCCUGUAACAUCAGUCAACAGUUCAUGUCCACAAUCAUGUAAAUAACUCAGAUUAGGUUACCUAAAGCAAGACAAUGCUUGUUUUAAAGAUCAAGUGACAGAAGACAAAUUGAACUUAGCUUUGCUCAUCAAAUGAUGGCAGCCCCAAAGAGAAAUUUCUUUGUGAAAUUCUGAACAUGAAAUAGAAACACAAAAAUUGACUUUUUGCAUUACUUAAUGAAUAUAUAGUUGCUGAAGCAUCUGAUACAACCUCACUGCAACAUGUACUAGAGAAUAAAUAAUAAUAAAUAAAUAAAGGAGACCUGGGACAAAUUAUAGGGCAUGCUGUCAUCUUUCCAAUUGAUUGUCCAAUUGUCUUACUGAAGUCCUACAACUAUUAAUUUCACUUAUAUUUACAUUGGACAGUAUAGAAAAGAAUGCAAGAAAAUGAAAACAGAUUUUAGGCAACGAACUCUAAACCGCAACUUAUGUAAACCAGGAAAAUCUGGCAUAUUCUUAAGAGUUUAAUCAGCUUAUUAAUAUAGCAGGCAUCUAAAUGAAGUGACUCUAAAAAGCUGGGCCCUUCACAUGUUGUCACAAACAAAAUUGGAGUUUAAAACUAGAAAAUCAGCAUUCGUGAAUGCAAUCUACACGAGUUACCUGAAUCUAGAGAAAAAGCGGUUUAAAAGGUCACAAGUUUUUCUCCAACAGAACCAAAAAAUAAACAAUCUUACCCAGGAAGUCAGGUUUUUUUAAUCAUAGAAGUUAGAACAAAUAGUCAAAAGUUUUUAAAUUUUUUAUUUUGCCAAAAUACUGAAAGUCUAUUUCAGUAAAUGAGCAAAAUAAAGUAGAAAACAUAAUUUACCCAGUAAUGGCAAUAAAACUAUCAGGAAACAUAAAGUAGUAUUGGUUUCCCACAAAAUAAUAUACUUGUAUGAUUUUUUUUUUGUAUAUAUGACCGAAUGAAGAACUCUAGUUGUCAAGAUUAGCUCACAAAACAAAAAACAUCUAUGGCAUUAUUUUAUGAGUUAUUUUGUAAAUUACAGAGACCAUUUGAUUACCAUAUUCUAUAAAUCAGCAAGCAAUCAAAAAUGCAGCAUUUGAUAGUACAAAAAGAAUAAAUAAAUAUUAAACGAAUCUGUAAACUGACGAGGAACAAUCAAAAUUACAAAGGCCAAGCUUAAUUCCAUGAAAGAUAACAGAACCUCCAUGAAAUUUCCAAAUAAUCCAGCACAGAGAAAUUGAACCAUUUAACCAAAGCUUAAAUUUUAGUUCUCACAAAUACAUGGGCACACAUGGGCACAAAAACCACAUCACAAAUAUACUACCACAACUUACUUUAAACUGAUCCAUUAAAAAAUAAAUUCUAAUCUAUCACAAUAAUUUUCUCAAAUCAAAUUACUAUAAAUAUACGCAGUCACACACAAACACAGAUAACACACACCACAAACAAACACAUGAUUAACACCAAUAAAAAAAACAAAUCUUAAGAUAUAAGAACAUUAUAUUCCAUAAUUUUGCAAUCAAAUAACAAACAACCCAUUUCAUUAGCUAAGAUACAAAAAAUUAAUAACUAAUACCCAAAUCUUCUCAGCAGCCAAAUAGCGAAACCUUAGAGUGAUUGAUUUGUAAAUUAAAAAAAAAUCAUAUUAGGGUGUGGACCUGAUUUGGGUAGAAUUAUUUCGGUAGUUGUUAGCAGCUUUGAAGCGCAGGAUCUCAAUCCAUUAUUCGUGGCCAUGGUGGUUCGGUUUGUUAUCGUAGAGAAAAUGUGAGAAAUGAGAACAAAAAGAACCCUCUUUCUCUC